This 824-nucleotide long non-coding RNA is filed under the name Homo sapiens (human). RNAcentral describes it as "HSALNT0007947". Lineage: Eukaryota; Metazoa; Chordata; Mammalia; Primates; Hominidae. The record is from RNAcentral.
CCACAGGCUCAAAUGCAGAUAUAAACGAGGAAUCCUGGAUUCUUGAAUGAUCCUGUGGAGCACAGCAGACCUCAGGGUGAAGAGUUCACUUAACUCAACACUGUUAAGUGAGAAUUAAGUAAACUUAUGCUGUGUUUGGCUAAGGGGGUUCAGAUCUUGUGUAGAAGAGAGGAUUAACAUUACUGAGCCCUCUCAGUCCAAUCCAGAGGGCAUCAAUAUGGUUGAGCAGAAUAACAGCACACUCUAGACAACAGAAACAACAGCCAGAGGACUGAGAAGGGAAAGACGAUUGGGAAACAGCUCAAAUAAUAUUCAAGACAUUCCAACCCCACCUUGGAACUCCCAGAGAGAUGCAAAAAAAGAAGGUGAUGUAGAUAUGCCAUAUGGCAGGUAAGGAAUAAUACUAGAACAGAUGGAAUAAACCAGUGAGAUCCAGCUGAACUAUUCAAAUGACACUGAAGGACUGAAGAUUCUCAAGGAUGCAGGGUUUUGAAGAUGUUCACAAAUCAAUAUAAAGAAAUAGAGAUGAGAAGGCGGAACAAGAUGGCUGAAUAGAAGCCUCCAGCGAUUGUCCCUCCCACGAAACACCAAACAGAACAUCUAUCCACAGAAAAAAAGCAUGUUCAUAAGAACCAAAAAUCAGACGCUGAUGAACACCCACAAGCAUCAAGGCCAUCCGGGGAAACAUGAUGUCACCAAUGAACUAAAUAAGGCACCACGGACCAGUCCUAGAGAGACACAGAUAUAUUACCUUUUAGACUGAGAGUUCAAAAUAGCUGUUUUGAGGAAGCUCAACAAAAUCCAAGAUAACACAGAGAAGGAAA